UCCGGCUUAUCGCCGGCAGUCUGCUAUGAAUAUGUAACAUAGCACGAGGGUUGCGCUCGUUACCCCACUGAAGGGUACACCUCACGGCACGAGCUGACGACAACCAUGCAUCACCUGUCUUAGCGCUCCCGAAGGCACUCCUCUGUUUCUAGAGGAUUCGCUAGAUGUCAAACCUAGGUAAGGUUCUCCGCUUAGCAUCGAAUUAAACCACAUGCUCCACCGCUUGUGCGGGUCCCCGUCAAUUCCUUUGAGUUUUAGCCUUGCGGCCGUACUCCCCAGGCGGGAUGCUUAACGCGUUAGCUUCAUGACACCGAAGGGGUCGACUCCUCCGAUGCCUAGCAUCCAUCGUUUAGGGCGUGGACUAC
This 365-nucleotide unclassified non-coding RNA is filed under the name uncultured bacterium. Its description in RNAcentral is "contains 16S-23S intergenic spacer region". The record is from RNAcentral.